RNAcentral lists this long non-coding RNA (514 nucleotides) under Salvia miltiorrhiza (redroot sage). RNAcentral describes it as "long non-coding RNA (SMIL_LNC002291)". The record is from RNAcentral. Lineage: Eukaryota; Viridiplantae; Streptophyta; Magnoliopsida; Lamiales; Lamiaceae.
AGGCAGAUGAUACAGCAGUAGGUGGACCACCAAAAGUAGGGCGCAUUUGCAGCGGCUGAGAAGAAGGCCUAGAUGAUAACAUAGCUGGUGGUUGUGGAGGUCCACCUAACGGCCUCGGCAUACUACCCAUAGCAGGAGGGAACGGUGACCCACCUUGUGUCAUCCCUGGUGCAAAUGUAGGCGGUCCAUUACUAAUUGAACCAGAAGCACUUGCAUGGGAAGGAGUGGAGGGAGCUGAUGUCAGAGGGGAAGACGGGUAUGAUCCGGGACGAGGCCCCAAUGCAGGAGGCGAGGGAGCAACAGGCCCACCAACAGAUGAUGGCAUCGCCCCAGGUGGUGGUGGUCUUGAUGCAAAGGGAGGAGGCUGAGAUCCAGGUGGUGGACCAGUGGGUCUAGUAGAACCCAUAUUUGGAGGCAAUGUAGUUUGAGCAGGAGCAUUGGGUGGUACCGGAGCCCUUGGAAAUACACCAGGGGGAGGCGGGCCUGGUCUGCUACCAGCAAAAGCCGGAGCCUG